AACUAACUUGCAAAUAAAGAUGUCACUAGUGUUUAGUACUAUAAUUAAACAGAAGACGUAUAAAUAGAUCAAUGUUGAAUUUAAAUGAUAGUAGGAAAAAGGCAAUGGCUGCAUGCAGAACAUAAUUUAACUGGUGAAAGAAGAAGUUGUAUUUGAUAGCCUAUCCUACUUUAUUUUUCCUUUUAUUUAUGGGUCCCAUGUGUGACUAUUUGUUUUUUACCACUUCUGAUUCUUCAGUAACGAGGAAAUUACCAGAAUAGGCGCAACCAACCAUAUACUAUGAAACAAUUUAAUUUAAGCUUCCUAUAUGAUCAUUAUUUUGUUGAAGAAGUUGAAUGUCAUCAGGACAGUGGCAUAUAUAGUAAUAAAAGAGAAAAUACUCAGAUUGCACAAUUCAAUCUUCUCUCAAUAUGAUGAUUUUCUACUACAUUUUCUGAGAAAGAUUUACAUUAUAGCCAUAUAUGAAAUAAAUCAUAAAUGUUCAUUUAUCUUUAUACUAUUUUCCUUGGAAUCCGAUCACUUGUAAUUCUACACUAGAUGUGUUGUUGAACUGAUCAAGAUCAUACUUGAUUAAAUUAUUGUGUCUUCUUCUUUUUAGAUGCCUCUUUUCAGGUUUCGAGUCAAAUAGGCUCAUGAUAGAAACUACAAAGAUUUUUGAACCAGCUAUACUUAAUUAUAAGGUUAGAGCUAGCUAGCUAGGUCUGGUGUGUUAGAGAAUAGCAGAAGAAAGGUGUGGUUGAAGAGACCUUUCGCUAGCGCAAGAUCGUUAACUAAGAUUGGAAGAUUCAACUAAGAAAAGAAAGGUAUGAAAUGGAAGCUUUGUAAUUGGGGAAACCUUCUUGAAUUGAAUUGUUUGGGGGUGGUUAUAAAUGUACAAGACUCAUCCCUAUUUAUACUAGUUUGUAGAUGGUUUUAGAAAUUUUUCUAAAUACUUUUAAAGAAAAAUCUAGUGAUUUUUAUCUUCUACCACUACUUUAGAAUAUUUAGAUAAUUUUAUAACAACAAUCUUAACAACUUUUAUAUUCUAGCUAUGUAAGAAUAAUCUAGAUAUUUCUCUAAGAUAAUUAUCCUAAAUAUCAUGUUAGAGCAUUCUAGAAACUUUACUAGAAAAUCUAUAAUUCCAAAAAAUCAACUUUAGUGUUUUCACACUCCCUCUUAAAGUAAUUUUUUGAAAGCUACCCUAAACUCGUCACAGAAGAACUCAAACGAAGGUUUGAAUCAUGCCUUGGGAAAAUCCUUGAAAUUUUUUCUCGACUCAUCUAAUUUCUUCAAAUAAUGAAGUUUUUUUUUUGUCAUCAAAUGGUCUUGCAAAGAUAUGUGUCUAUGUACCAACAAAAGUUUUAUCACUGUAACUUACCGGCUUCAUCACAAUAUUUUCUUUUGGCCUUUGUGAAUCAAGUGAGUCAUCUCCUUGUCGAGUUUCAUGUUCUUGAGUUUUCGAUCUCCCCCUUUCUCUGAACUCAUCAAUAACUAUAUUUUUUUGGAGAAGCAUUUGUCAUGGGCAAGUUUGAAACUUUAGGGUCCAAUGUUUUAAAACCCUCUCCUUCAGAUACAACUCUGAAGUACAAGGAAAUUAAAUUUCAUAAGUAUCAACCUUUUCAUCAUCCAUUUUUGUAUUUGAAAUUGAGUCUACAUAAACAACUUCUUCAUUUAUUUGAUCUUUUGCUUCUUCAUCUACUUUUGAUUUUUUCUGCACUAGUGAUUGACCUUGAUAUAGUAGAUGCUUGAUCAGAGACUUCAAUUUUCAUUAUAUCUUUCUCAACGUUUUCUUCAAAAAGGUCACCACUGGCAUGUAUAGUUUCAGACACUCUCUGCUCAGAUUCUAUUCCAACAUCUUUCACAUUCAGACUUUUAUUAUUAAUUUCAGGAUUUGCUUCUUUGAAUUCCUCGAUAGCAGCUACCACAUCUCCAGUCUGAAUAUCUUCAGUAUUAUCUUGCUUCUUAUUAGUGUCCUUCUUCUUCACAUGAUGGAUUGUGUUAUAUCCGAUCUAAUCUCUUUACAAAUUUAUGGAAGCCAAGGCAUUUAUUGCUCGACUCUCAACUUCUAAGCAUUUUUCCCAACAUUCUUCUUCUUCAACAACUUUUUCUAUAUAGCCACGUUGCUCUUCGUGGCUUGUCAAUAUCUUUUUAUAUGUCCUGCUUUGCCACACCGAUAGCAUCUGAGAGGCUUCUUAGUAUAAUUGUUAAAAGUCUCUUCCUUCUUUCCGGGCGAACUUAAAUCACUUGAGAAUCGAGUAUGAGGCAUAUCUCUUGCUUUUCCUUUAACAUUCCUCUUAUCAGCUAUAAGAGCAUUUCCUUCCAUUUCUUAGACAAAUUCACUAGCCAAUUGUUUGGCUGGUAACUCCUGUGACGAUAAUAAAUUCUCAAAUUCCUCCAGGGAUGGUUGAUUAGUCCAUCUCUGAAUUGAUGCCACAAAGAAAAUAUAUUUUGGUUUCAAACCACGAAUGAUAAUUCUUCUCAUUCAUGCUUCAGAGAUAGCCUCAUCCGUAUUCAAUAAAGAAAUCUCAGAACAUAAGUUCUUAAUCUUUAAAAAGUACUAAGCAAUAGAAAGGUUACCUUGAGUAGUGUUCGCCAAUUUAUUCUCCAAUAUUUAUAGUCGAGCUUCAUUUUUCUUGUUGAACAACUGAUCAAGCAUCCUUUGUAUUUCAUGAGGUGAUAUACACCUUAUGAAGUGGUCAAAUAAACUAGAAGAGAUAGACCUCUUCAGAAUGAACUCCGCCUUUGUAUUAAUCUGCUUCCACUUCUUGUAUGCACUACUAUUCUCAGGUUCAUCGUUCGGAGGACUUGUGUUACUCCACGUUAACAACAUCCCACAAAUCCUCGUCCACAAGAUAUGAUUCCAUAUAAGUCUUCCAUAUAUACCUUGUAAUUGGACUGAUUCAACAACUCCAUUUCCAGUACAUUACGUGAUCGCUUAAAUCCAUUAGGACUAAUCAAUUGAAUCGACCACAAACCCAAUCUUGAAAUAAACACAAGUCAAUCUACAACUUUGGCUCUGAUACGAUGUAGAGAAUAAUAGAAGAAAGGUGUAGUUGGAGAGACCUUCUCUAGCCCAAGAUCGUUAACUAAUAUCGGAAGAUUCAACUAAGAAAAGAAAGGUAUGAAAUGGAAGCUUUGUAGUUG
RNAcentral lists this long non-coding RNA (3123 nucleotides) under Capsicum annuum. RNAcentral describes it as "long non-coding RNA (CANN_LNC003470)". Lineage: Eukaryota; Viridiplantae; Streptophyta; Magnoliopsida; Solanales; Solanaceae. The record is from RNAcentral.